Molecule: ribosomal RNA, 407 nt
Filed under: uncultured prokaryote
Description: bacterial SSU rRNA
Rfam family: Bacterial small subunit ribosomal RNA
Source: RNAcentral
UGGGGAAUAUUGCACAAUGGGCGCAAGCCUGAUGCAGCGACGCCGCGUGAGGGAUGAAGGCCUUCGGGUUGUAAACCUCUUUCAGUAGGGACGAAGCGAAAGUGACGGUACCUACAGAAGAAGGACCGGCCAACUACGUGCCAGCAGCCGCGGUAAUACGUAGGGUCCGAGCGUUGUCCGGAAUUACUGGGCGUAAAGAGCUCGUAGGUGGUUUGUCGCGUUGUUCGUGAAAACUCACAGCUUAACUGUGGGCGUGCGGGCGAUACGGGCAGACUAGAGUACUGCAGGGGAGACUGGAAUUCCUGGUGUAGCGGUGGAAUGCGCAGAUAUCAGGAGGAACACCGGUGGCGAAGGCGGGUCUCUGGGCAGUAACUGACGCUGAGGAGCGAAAGCGUGGGUAGCGAACA